GCAACCUGGUUGAUCCUGCCAGUAGUCAUAUGCUUGUCUCAAAGAUUAAGCCAUGCAUGUCUAAGUAUAAAUAGCAUACCGUGAAACUGCGAAUGGCUCAUUAAAACAGUUAUAGUUUAUUUGAUAAUGGAAAGCUAUAUGGAUAACCGUGGUAAUUCUAGAGCUAAUACAUGCUGUCAAACCUAACUUCUGGA
This 194-nucleotide ribosomal RNA is filed under the name uncultured eukaryote. Its description in RNAcentral is "partial 18S ribosomal RNA". It matches the Rfam family "Eukaryotic small subunit ribosomal RNA", at positions 1 to 194 of the family's 1831-position model. The record is from RNAcentral.